RNAcentral lists this ribosomal RNA (684 nucleotides) under Brevibacterium casei. Its description in RNAcentral is "bacterial SSU rRNA". It matches the Rfam family "Bacterial small subunit ribosomal RNA", at positions 78 to 776 of the family's 1533-position model. The record is from RNAcentral. Lineage: Bacteria; Bacillati; Actinomycetota; Actinomycetes; Micrococcales; Brevibacteriaceae.
UUGCACCGGGUGGAUGAGUGGCGAACGGGUGAGUAACACGUGAGUAACCUGCCCCUGACUUCGGGAUAAGCCCGGGAAACUGGGUCUAAUACCGGAUACGACUGCCGGACGCAUGUCUGGUGGUGGAAAGUUUUUUCGGUUGGGGAUGGGCUCGCGGCCUAUCAGUUUGUUGGUGAGGUAAUGGCUCACCAAGACGACGACGGGUAGCCGGCCUGAGAGGGCGACCGGCCACACUGGGACUGAGACACGGCCCAGACUCCUACGGGAGGCAGCAGUGGGGAAUAUUGCACAAUGGGGGAAACCCUGAUGCAGCGACGCAGCGUGCGGGAUGACGGCCUUCGGGUUGUAAACCGCUUUCAGCAGGGAAGAAGCGCAAGUGACGGUACCUGCAGAAGAAGUACCGGCUAACUACGUGCCAGCAGCCGCGGUAAUACGUAGGGUACGAGCGUUGUCCGGAAUUAUUGGGCGUAAAGAGCUCGUAGGUGGUUGGUCACGUCUGCUGUGGAAACGCAACGCUUAACGUUGCGCGUGCAGUGGGUACGGGCUGACUAGAGUGCAGUAGGGGAGUCUGGAAUUCCUGGUGUAGCGGUGAAAUGCGCAGAUAUCAGGAGGAACACCGGUGGCGAAGGCGGGACUCUGGGCUGUAACUGACACUGAGGAGCGAAAGCAUGGGGAGCGAACAGG